CUUCGAACGAAUUUUGACACUCCAAAAGCAAUUUAUUCCACUAUUUUCAAAGGCCUUAUUUGAACAUUUUUUUAUCAGCUGAGGUUUUUGAUUGUACAAGUGUACUAGUAAGUAGAAUACAUAGUUUAGUAGGGAAACAAUGGCUUGAAACGAAAUAAAUCUUUGUUUGUAAUGAGUUAUGUGCAGCUUCGGACCCAAGUACAUGCAUUGGUUGGAAAUUCAUUAUAAAAUGCAUUUGGUUCUGCUUUGAAAAGAAUCACAG
RNAcentral lists this long non-coding RNA (262 nucleotides) under Mytilus galloprovincialis (Mediterranean mussel). Lineage: Eukaryota; Metazoa; Mollusca; Bivalvia; Mytilida; Mytilidae. The record is from RNAcentral.